RNAcentral lists this ribosomal RNA (685 nucleotides) under Paracoccus sp. AS16. RNAcentral's name for it is "bacterial SSU rRNA". It matches the Rfam family "Bacterial small subunit ribosomal RNA", at positions 17 to 750 of the family's 1533-position model. The record is from RNAcentral. Lineage: Bacteria; Pseudomonadati; Pseudomonadota; Alphaproteobacteria; Rhodobacterales; Paracoccaceae.
UCCUGGCUCAGAACGAACGCUGGCGGCAGGCCUAACACAUGCAAGUCGAGCGCACCUUCGGGUGAGCGGCGGACGGGUGAGUAACGCGUGGGAAUAUGCCCUUUGGUACGGAAUAGUCCUGGGAAACUGGGGGUAAUACCGUAUGCGCCCUUCGGGGGAAAGAUUUAUCGCCAAAGGAUUAGCCCGCGUUGGAUUAGGUAGUUGGUGGGGUAAUGGCCUACCAAGCCGACGAUCCAUAGCUGGUUUGAGAGGAUGAUCAGCCACACUGGGACUGAGACACGGCCCAGACUCCUACGGGAGGCAGCAGUGGGGAAUCUUAGACAAUGGGGGCAACCCUGAUCUAGCCAUGCCGCGUGAGUGAUGAAGGCCCUAGGGUUGUAAAGCUCUUUCAGCUGGGAAGAUAAUGACGGUACCAGCAGAAGAAGCCCCGGCUAACUCCGUGCCAGCAGCCGCGGUAAUACGGAGGGGGCUAGCGUUGUUCGGAAUUACUGGGCGUAAAGCGCACGUAGGCGGACCGGAAAGUUGGGGGUGAAAUCCCGGGGCUCAACCCCGGAACUGCCUUCAAAACUAUCGGUCUGGAGUUCGAGAGAGGUGAGUGGAAUUCCGAGUGUAGAGGUGAAAUUCGUAGAUAUUCGGAGGAACACCAGUGGCGAAGGCGGCUCACUGGCUCGAUACUGACGCUGAG